RNAcentral lists this ribosomal RNA (964 nucleotides) under uncultured Acidobacteriota bacterium. RNAcentral describes it as "bacterial SSU rRNA". It matches the Rfam family "Bacterial small subunit ribosomal RNA", at positions 524 to 1482 of the family's 1533-position model. Lineage: Bacteria; Pseudomonadati; Acidobacteriota. The record is from RNAcentral.
UACGUAGGGGGCGAGCGUUGUUCGGAUUUACUGGGCGUAAAGAGCGCGUAGGUGGUUCGAUGAGUCGGAUGUGAAAUCCCUCGGCUUAACCGAGGACCCGCGUCCGAUACUGUCGAACUUGAGUGCAGGAGAGGAGAGCGGAAUUCCCAGUGUAGCGGUGAAAUGCGUAGAUAUUGGGAGGAACACCGGUGGCGAAGGCGGCUCUCUGGACUGUCACUGACACUGAGGCGCGAAAGCUAGGGGAGCAAACGGGAUUAGAUACCCCGGUAGUCCUAGCCGUAAACGAUGGGCACUAGGUGUGGGAGGUAUCGACCCCUUCCGUGCCGCAGCUAACGCAUUAAGUGCCCCGCCUGGGGAGUACGGCCGCAAGGUUGAAACUCAAAGGAAUUGACGGGGGCCCGCACAAGCGGUGGAGCAUGUGGUUUAAUUCGACGCAACGCGAAGAACCUUACCAGGGCUUGACAUCCCGCGAAUCCUGCCGAAAGGCAGGAGUGCCCGCAAGGGAGCGCGGAGACAGGUGGUGCAUGGCUGUCGUCAGCUCGUGUCGUGAGAUGUUGGGUUAAGUCCCGCAACGAGCGCAACCCUCACCCCUUGUUGCUACCAGGUAAAGCUGGGCACUCUAGGGGAACUGCCCCGGUCAACGGGGAGGAAGGCGGGGAUGACGUCAAGUCAUCAUGCCCCUUACGUCCUGGGCUACACACGUGCUACAAUGGCCGGUACAAAGGGAUGCCACACCGUGAGGUAGAGCUAAACCCAAAAAGCCGGUCUAAGUUCAGAUUGGAGUCUGCAACUCGACUCCAUGAAGGAGGAAUCGCUAGUAAUCGCGUAUCAGCACGACGCGGUGAAUACGUUCCCGGGCCUUGUACACACCGCCCGUCACACCACGAAAGCCAGUUGUACUCGAAGUCGCUGAGCUAACCCGCAAGGGAGGCAGGCGCCGAAGGUAUGACUGGUGAUUGGGGUG